GGAGGCGCACUCAAAGAUGUAGACGAUGAGCAUGAGCACCAGCCUCACCGUGAGGAUCAUGGACCGGCGGCGGCAGAGUGCUGCACCCACACCAAAGCUGGCCACCACGAAGAAGGAGAAGCCGCAGAAGAUGGCGAUCCAGGCGCCAGCGAAGACGUCAUCCUUUCCCGAGACGCCCAUCAGUGGAUACACGCGGUACUGGUCGGCUGUCACCCAUACCGUCUCAGCAAACAGGGCCAGGCCUGACAGCUGGACAGGGCAGCCAGUUAGCAAGGCCUGUUCAGGGGCAGCAGCCCAGCUACACGAGUCUCCAUGAGCAAGUGCUUUCCCCAUUCCGAGCCUCCACUGCCCUCUCGGUAAAGUGGGCAUGUAACAAGAGUGGUAAAGACAUCCCCUUCCAUGAGCAGCGAUGAGGCUGGGCAGAGGCCAGGAGGGAAGGGAGGGCCCAGCCAAACCCCUGCCGCCCCCCACACCCCAGCUGCCAGUUGCUUCAAGAAUAUAAGGAGAUGCCACAUCCGCAAAGCCUGGAGCGCGUAACUGGCACUGAAGAGAUGCUGGGUCACCCUGCCCUUCCUCAAUAGUGCUGUUAUUCCAGAGCAGGGCAGUCUGGCCAGGCCAAACAAUUACAAACGCAUCAACCCUUUGCACAGCAACUCUACUUGCAGGAAUCAAUCCUACAGGUACACUCGCCCCUGCAGGAAAAUCACAAACCCACAAGGUUAUUCCUGCAGACCAUGGGUGAAAGAUCCAGGAAGCUGCACAAUGCAGCUGUGAAAAAGCACAGGGAGGCUCUCUGAGGGCUCAUGUGGAGUGGCCUACAGACUCUGUGAGCAAGAGAAAAGGGAGGCACAGAACAGGAUGUGGAAUGCGCUAAAUUUUGGGGCAAGAAAGGGGAGAAAGUAGGUAUAUAUGUUCCUAUUUGCUUUUAUUUGCUUAAAGAAAUGGAGAAACAAAAAUCUGGUUAUCUAUAGGGGUGGGGAUGGGGAACAGGAGAGAAGAAGACUUCUCAGUGGAUACCUCUGACAAUACCCACAGGGUACUUACCGCAUGACAGGCAUUGGUCCCCGUAACUGCUUCUUUGUGACAAUCACUGUUACCAGCUGUGGUGUCUGUUGUUGUUAUGGCCAAUACAACCCCAAACUCCGGUCUAAGCACAGUAAUCCAAUAACUCAUCUUAUCCUCUCAGUGGUCCUAUUUUAUCUCCAUUUUACAGAUGAGAAAACUGAGGACCAGAGAGGUUACAUCACUGGCUCCAGUUCCCACAGUAGAAAGUGGCAGAGCUGGGAUUUGAACCCAGGCUGCCUGGCUCCAGAGCCAUGUAUAGGUAUCACAUAUUCUCUAAAAACAUUAAAUAUUUACUAAAGGACAUUGUUAUGAUUCAUUACCAUGGGCCUCCUGUGUGCCAAGCAGGCACUUCAUGUGCAUAAUCAUGUUACUGAUGAUGGCUAGCAUUUGUCAAGCACUUUUUCUGAGCUGAGGGCCAUACAUGGAUUAAUCUACAGAACAGUCCCCACGAUGAAGACAUAAGCUAUAGAUGGGAAACAGGCACAGAGAAGUCAAGUUGCUUGCUCAAGGUCACACAGCUGGGGAGAGGCAGAGCUGGGAUUCGAAUCCAGGCUACUCUGACUUGAGAGCCCGCAGCACUGGCCAUCCGGGGAGCCCUGGGCCCCCAGCCCCCAGCCCCAGGCUCAGGACUGCCCCCUCCUCCCCACCCGCACACUCGGCUCCCAGCACUGGGGGAUGUCUCACCAGAAUGAUGAUGUUGCCCACGACCAGCAGCCCCACCACAACCGGAGAGCCCUUCUCUGCUGCCGCUGCUGCAGAAGCCAUAGUCCUGCCUGAGUGAGGACGCAGGCCUUCCUGAGAGCAGAGAGAGAUCCAAGUCCGCCUCGAGUGUGAAUCCUGAAUCCCAGAACUGCCUCCUCUGCUGGUGGCUCCCCAUCUCUGAGGCUAGGAGCCAAGGGGGUUGGGGGGGGCGGAGGCCUGGGCAGCGACCCGGGCAGUUGAGGACAGAGCUGGACCAAGGCAGGGAGACCGGGAGAAGAUGAGGGGGCAGGUGGGGGGGAUGCUCAGAAGGCUGAUGUACUGGCUCUGAUCUGAGGGGAGAUGAUGGCAGGAGAUGGAUGUGUGAGGGGAGUUGGAAAUGCGUGUACAAUGAGCAGGGAGAGAAGUGUGCCAGAAAAAGGGAGGGGGCACAUCGAAUGGGCUUGGCGGGAGAAAAGUACCCUUCUCUGCGCCGCCACCCCUACCCGCCCCACACAGACAAAGCAGGGUCACAGUGAGGAGCCAUGGGUUGAAAUGUCUUCAGGCUGCAGAACCAAAGAGACCCAGGUUCAGAUCCCAGUUCCGCCUCCUCUGUGCUGCGCGAACUGGCGUGUGCAUUUGCCUAUCUGCAGAACGGGUAUCUUCAGACCGCUUUCCCGGGCGGCGGUGGGAACUGAGUGCGGGGAUGUCUGCGAAGCACGUCUUCCGGGCCUGGUGUGCAGCAGGUGGCCGCGCCGCACCAGCUGCGCUCUGGAGAGGCCCACGUCCUCUCCGACGGCGCCCCCUAGUGGCACAAGGCUGAUUCCGCAGGCGAAAAUGGUGGCCUGAAACCCCCGGUACAUCUCGAGAACUUCUCCACCUCGAGGACCAGGACAUUGACUGCGUUUUCUCUCUGAGCCUCGGCUCCGCCAGUGUACGCGAAAUGGGCAAACGGAAGGUAAAAUUCCAAUUUCAAGACACUGGCUUGGUAAUAAGACCCAUGAGAUGUUUUCCAAUUAAAAUGGUUAAUUUGGUUUUUAGUCAAUCCACUUUACAUUUAAAAUAGUUUUUCUCCGUUGAUUUAUAUUUAUAUUAAGGACUAACGAGAAAAUUUCAAUAAUAAUGUACACAACCUGUCAAAUACAUUUUAUAAGUUUUAGCUAAAAUAACUUGCAAAAUAAUAGGGCCAUGCUCAUAAUAUGAAUUUUUAUUUUGAAAUAGUUGAUAACUGUCAGUAGUUCAAAGUUACAUAAAAUGUCAGUAAAAGCAAAACGUUGUCAUCAAUGGGGGCAUUAAUAUGUCAUCAGUCAUAAAAGGGAUCCAUUUUGUUCUGAAACAUGAAGCCAGUGUACUUGGAUGUUGGAUUUGAAUUUUCAUUAUUCUUUUUUACUAUUAUGUAAGCCAGUCUUCGAUACAAUAAAGUUUGAAGUGCUCAUUUCUUCCUUUAAAAAAUCACAAUGCCAAGAUCUAAAGAUGACAUACGCCUACCCUAUG
Molecule: long non-coding RNA, 3237 nt
Organism: Diceros bicornis minor
Lineage: Eukaryota; Metazoa; Chordata; Mammalia; Perissodactyla; Rhinocerotidae
Exons: 3
Source: RefSeq, a predicted model, not a curated record